This 497-nucleotide ribosomal RNA is filed under the name uncultured bacterium. Its description in RNAcentral is "partial 16S ribosomal RNA". It matches the Rfam family "Bacterial small subunit ribosomal RNA", at positions 28 to 507 of the family's 1533-position model. The record is from RNAcentral.
GAUGAACGCUGGCGGCGUGCCUAAUACAUGCAAGUCGAGCGAACAGACGAGGAGCUUGCUCCUCUGACGUUAGCGGCGGACGGGUGAGUAACACGUGGAUAACCUACCUAUAAGACUGGGAUAACUUCGGGAAACCGGAGCUAAUACCGGAUAAUAUAUUGAACCGCAUGGUUCAAUAGUGAAAGACGGUUUUGCUGUCACUUAUAGAUGGAUCCGCGCCGCAUUAGCUAGUUGGUAAGGUAACGGCUUACCAAGGCAACGAUGCGUAGCCGACCUGAGAGGGUGAUCGGCCACACGGGAACUGAGACACGGUCCAGACUCCUACGGGAGGCAGCAGUAGGGAAUCUUCCGCAAUGGGCGGAAGCCUGACGGAGCAACGCCGCGUGAGUGAUGAAGGUCUUCGGAUCGUAAAACUCUGUUAUUAGGGAAGAACAAAUGUGUAAGUAACUAUGCACGUCUUGACGGUACCUAAUCAGAAAGCCACGGCUAACUACGUG